This 837-nucleotide long non-coding RNA is filed under the name Homo sapiens (human). Its description in RNAcentral is "HSALNT0081722". The record is from RNAcentral. Lineage: Eukaryota; Metazoa; Chordata; Mammalia; Primates; Hominidae.
GGGGGAGCAGAGGCGAGGAGGAGGGACCCCGGUGGGGAGCGCAGGAGUUCCUGCUGUGGUCUUUGCAGAGAGGCCAGAAUAAGAGAUAAGAAAGUCAAGGUGGAUGGAAAAGAAGGAAAACGGAUCAUUCCCGGCAACGUGGACUAUUCAAUACGGGAUACCAAUAUCCUAAGGACUACACGUUCCAGGAAUUCCCUGCGGGGUUCUCAGGACCUGCCGCUAGUGUUAAAAAGAUCAUUAAGAGCAGAACAUCUCUUCCUUCCCUGGAGCUCCUGCUAAUUUGUGUUUAAAGACCUAGACUCUAGCAGAGUUCAUCUUUACAGCGAGACCUGAGGCAAUCAACGCCCAUCCUUCCGUGGAGCAUGCCCAGCGUGGGGAAGUGUAGCUGUGGAGGAGGGCCCCACCCCUCCCGGACGUCACCUGCAGUACUGGGAGGAGAGUGAGGCCAGGGAUAUGGCUACAGUACCAACACCCGCACUCCACCCCAUCCCAAACACCUGCACGACCAGCGCCUGCAAGCACGGAAGAGCCAGCAUUUACCCCCAGCCGCAUAACUUUCAGAAUCCCCCGAAGUGCUUUCUGAUAUGGGUGGUGGCUUCCCUUUCAUCAUUAGUGACAGAAGGGAAACCAUCAGAAAUAUUGUAUUAAUAAAGAUAUCUUUCUGAGCCUAGUACUGAAAACAUCCAUCACAAAGAAAAUUAGAACAAAAAAUUGCAAUGCGCUAUAAAACAUUGCUCUUUUUGGGUCUGUGAGCUCAUUUUUCUUUUGAAUGGAUUCUGUUUCAUUUUUCUCAUCAUAUUGGAGUCAUUGCUAACUGAAGAGCCGCUAAAAACUUAC